Molecule: ribosomal RNA, 400 nt
Filed under: uncultured bacterium
Lineage: Bacteria
Description: bacterial SSU rRNA
Rfam family: Bacterial small subunit ribosomal RNA
Source: RNAcentral
UGAGGAAUAUUGGACAAUGGGUUAGCGCCUGAUCCAGCCAUCCCGCGUGAAGGACGACGGCCCUAUGGGUUGUAAACUUCUUUUGUAUAGGGAUAAACCUACUCUCGUGAGAGUAGCUGAAGGUACUAUACGAAUAAGCACCGGCUAACUCCGUGCCAGCAGCCGCGGUAAUACGGAGGGUGCAAGCGUUAUCCGGAUUUAUUGGGUUUAAAGGGUCCGUAGGCGGACUUAUAAGUCAGUGGUGAAAGCCUGUCGCUUAACGAUAGAACUGCCAUUGAUACUGUAAGUCUUGAGUAUAUUUGAGGUAGCUGGAAUAAGUAGUGUAGCGGUGAAAUGCAUAGAUAUUACUUAGAACACCAAUUGCGAAGGCAGGUCACUAAGAUUUAACUGACGCUGAUGG